Molecule: unclassified non-coding RNA, 405 nt
Filed under: soil metagenome
Description: partial contains 5.8S ribosomal RNA, internal transcribed spacer 2, and large subunit ribosomal RNA
Rfam family: 5.8S ribosomal RNA (bases 1-121)
Source: RNAcentral
GAUGAAGAACGCAGUGAAAUGCGAUAAGUAAUGUGAAUUGCAGAAUUCAGUGAAUCAUCGAAUCUUUGAACGCACCUUGCGCCCUUUGGCUAUUCUGAAGGGCAUGCCUGUUUGAGUAUCAUGAACACCUCAACUCUCAUGGUUUGCCAUGAUGAGCUUGGACUUUGGGGGUCUUGCUGGCCUGUGGGUCGGCUCCUCUCAAAUGAAUCAGCUUGCCGGUUUUUGGUGGGCAUCACAGGUGUGAUAACUAUCUACGCUUGUGGUUUUCCACCAGGGUAACCUUCAGCAGUGGAGGUUCACUGGAGCUUACAAAUGUCUCUCCUCUGUGAGGACAGCCCUUUGAAUGUUUGAUCUCAAAUCAGGUAGGACUACCCGCUGAACUUAAGCAUAUCAAUAAGCGGAGGA